Molecule: ribosomal RNA, 253 nt
Filed under: uncultured bacterium
Lineage: Bacteria
Description: partial 16S ribosomal RNA
Rfam family: Bacterial small subunit ribosomal RNA
Source: RNAcentral
UACGGAGGGUGCAAACGUUGCUCGGAAUCACUGGGCGUAAAGCGCACGUAGGCGGUCCGAUAAGUCGGAUGUGAAAGCCCUGGGCUCAACCUAGGAAGUGCAUUCGAAACUGUCGGACUUGAGUACGGGAGAGGGUUGCGGAAUUCCCGGUGUAGAGGUGAAAUUCGUAGAUAUCGGGAGGAACACCAGUGGCGAAGGCGGCAGCCUGGACCGGUACUGACGCUGAGGCGCGAAAGCGUGGGGAGCAAACAGG